Molecule: transfer-messenger RNA, 213 nt
Filed under: Oscillospiraceae bacterium
Lineage: Bacteria; Bacillati; Bacillota; Clostridia; Eubacteriales; Oscillospiraceae
Description: partial transfer-messenger RNA
Rfam family: transfer-messenger RNA
About the family: Bacterial tmRNA, also known as 10Sa RNA or SsrA, is named for its dual tRNA and mRNA-like properties. Its role is to liberate the mRNA from a stalled ribosome.
Source: RNAcentral
CCGAGGAGGACCACGACCACGGGCUGAGCGUCAUUGAGUGGUGAACAUGCAUCGGGAGUUCGCACUUGUACCGAUCAUGCAAAAAAGGGCUACCCGCGGGCGUAGAUUGUCUGUGACCGACGCACAAAGGGAAUUUUAAACCACAGACUACCCACGAAGAAAGUCCUGUGAAUGAGUUUUCGGACAGGGGUUCGAUUCCCCUCGGAUCCACCA